Molecule: long non-coding RNA, 424 nt
Organism: Rosa rugosa (rugosa rose)
Lineage: Eukaryota; Viridiplantae; Streptophyta; Magnoliopsida; Rosales; Rosaceae
Exons: 4
Source: RefSeq, a predicted model, not a curated record
ACAAUACUCUUAUCUGGGACCAGUUUCUAUGGGACUUGAACAACUUUGAAAGUGAUCCGGAGGAGUUUGCUAAAACCUUGUGUGCAGAUUUAGGUGUUCAUGACCCUGAAGAUGGUCCUGCUAUUGCUUUUGCAAUUAGAGAACAGCUGUAUGAGUAAUUUUGCUUACAACUAUCUUAGUGGUACAAUACUAAAGGAAUGGGCUUCAAGCUUGCAGUGAUUUUGCUUACAACUAUCUUGGGAGAUCGAGCAAAUUGUAUUCUUUUUUAUUAUCAUGUAAAGCUCAUGAAACUUGAAAGCUUGUUAAGCUAAUGAAAUAGAUAUAGGCACUUGGGCAAGCUUAAUUCUUGUCUAAAUGUUAGGAUGAAUACUGCUGAUGGAAUGAAAUGGUUUUUGGAAUCAAGGAUAUGUUGUUCAAUUGUGUA